CAGCAUGUUUCCAAGGGCUAUGGCCGGUUGUGGCCAUGGGUUCUCCAACUGCAUGCGAGAGCAACCUGGAGAGACUUUGACAGCACAGGUCAGCAUCAUACCUGCAGCUGCCACUCGACUUUCCUAUAACA
This 131-nucleotide small nucleolar RNA is filed under the name Ailuropoda melanoleuca (giant panda). RNAcentral describes it as "Small nucleolar RNA SNORA44 (ENSAMEG00000021914.2)". It matches the Rfam family "Small nucleolar RNA SNORA44". Rfam says of the family: ACA44 is a member of the H/ACA class of snoRNA that guide the sites of modification of uridines to pseudouridines. The record is from Rfam by way of RNAcentral. Lineage: Eukaryota; Metazoa; Chordata; Mammalia; Carnivora; Ursidae.